UCUAUUGCUCAGGUUGAAGCAGAAUUUGCCCGUCUUACAUCUGUUGACCUGAAAGGGUUCCUUUUUGCUGUGCUAGGUUCGUGGAGCUGUACAAAAUCAAGAGCGGCAUAGGAGGGCUAACUAGGCUCAUAAGAUGCUUCGGUGAUGAUAGCCCUACACAAAGGAAGAGGACAGAGGACCUCAUUUUCUAAAGGAAGAUCCCUCACACACUUUCAAGACUGUGAAGGGGGAAAAAUAAACUUUGUUACACCCCAGCCCAGGGAAACCCGGCGUGCAACAUAAGGAAAAUAAAAAUAAGGAGAACUGCCCCCACACUCCCUGCUCUCAAGGAAGACGAACCAAAAAGACAACUGUCACGGAUUUCACAACAGCCAGUCAGUUUAUUAAGGCCCAAAAGGUAGCGGGCGUCAGGGUGAGCAUGGCCAAAACAACAAACCAAAAACUCUAGAAAUGAAAUGCAGCUGGCUUACCUUCACAGAAAACCCCAAAAGAAAAUUACAGGUGUCUUACCUGCCUCUCUAACCAAAAACAGGAGAAAAGGUUCCCAAAGAAAAAUGGCUUCUCACCCCUACAGCUACCGAGUGAAAUUAAAUAUUGACAACUAGUGAUGGGACGUUCUGUAUCGAGGCUUCGAAGCGUGUGUCGAGUAAUGGAGGGGGCGUUUCCGCGAAGCGCGUAUCGAGGCUUGCUUCAUUUAUGGGAGGAGCUGAAAAUGAUGACGUCCGAAGCCUCGCUGCCCGGCUGUACCACGUGACUGGUUCAUGAAGCGGUUCGAACUUUUCCGCGAGCUAUGACAGCGAUAUAAACCCCUCAGACUUCAUUCAAAAUUUGGGUGUUUGAUGGAGAGUUACGAUUAGUGAGAGUUUGGAGACAGUUUGGAGAAAGUUUGGAGGUUUAUGAGAGUGAGGAGAGAAAGUCAGGAGAGGAUGGAGCCAGCUAAGAAGAGGAGGAUGUCCUCCCCUGUGUGGGAACAUUUUGAUUUUAUUCCCCCAACAAGGUGAAGUGUUUGCUAUGUGCCAGGGAGCUGGGAUAUAACAACAACACCUCAUCCAUGCUCAGGCACUACAGAGCUUUGCAUGAGAAUAAGGGGAACACUCAUUGUGGAGCAAGACCAGGAGAACAAUCUCAAAUAGAUGAAGACCUGGUUAGCAUGGUGAUUGCGGACUCCCAGCCAUUUAGCAUUGUGGAGGACAAAGGAUUUAAAAGAUCUGUUAAAUCAUUAAAUCCUAGCUAUGUUCUCCCCACUAAAAAGGUCAUAAAAGCAGUGAAAAUCUAGUUUUUACAGAAUAAAAUGUGAACAGGCAGGACUGAGGCACAAAGCCUCAGUGUGUAGCUGUCCAUACCUCAACGUUACAAAAGCACAACCACUGUCCACACCCC
This is a long non-coding RNA of Oreochromis aureus, 1380 nucleotides long. The record is from Ensembl. NCBI's taxonomy places the organism in Eukaryota, Metazoa, Chordata, Actinopteri, Cichliformes, Cichlidae.